Molecule: ribosomal RNA, 385 nt
Filed under: uncultured bacterium
Lineage: Bacteria
Description: bacterial SSU rRNA
Rfam family: Bacterial small subunit ribosomal RNA
Source: RNAcentral
AUUGAACGCUGGCGGCAUGCUUUACACAUGCAAGUCGAACGGCAGCGCGGGCUUCGGCCUGGCGGCGAGUGGCGAACGGGUGAGUAAUAUAUCGGAACGUACCCAAGAGUGGGGAUAACGUAGCGAAAGUUACGCUAAUACCGCAUACGAUCUAAGGAUGAAAGCAGGGGAUCGCAAGACCUUGUGCUCCUGGAGCGGCCGAUAUCUGAUUAGCUAGUUGGUGAGGUAAAGGCUCACCAAGGCAACGAUCAGUAGCUGGUCUGAGAGGACGACCAGCCACACUGGAACUGAGACACGGUCCAGACUCCUACGGGAGGCAGCAGUGGGGAAUUUUGGACAAUGGGGGCAACCCUGAUCCAGCAAUGCCGCGUGAGUGAAGAAGGCC